UCAAGACAAAGUAAAGUUGGAUACCAGUAUUUAGAAGACUAGAGAAUCUGUUCAAGUCAGGACUCUUGCAGCUGUACAUUCGAAACAGCUCCACAGCCCAAACUGCUGUAACUGUACAAAUUAGUUACCAGCGCAUGGAGAAUUUAGG
This is a long non-coding RNA of Oxyura jamaicensis (ruddy duck), 148 nucleotides long. RefSeq lists it as uncharacterized. The transcript is spliced from 3 exons. NCBI's taxonomy places the organism in Eukaryota, Metazoa, Chordata, Aves, Anseriformes, Anatidae. The record is from RefSeq and is a predicted model, not a curated record.